This 325-nucleotide ribosomal RNA is filed under the name uncultured bacterium. RNAcentral describes it as "bacterial SSU rRNA". It matches the Rfam family "Bacterial small subunit ribosomal RNA", at positions 588 to 916 of the family's 1533-position model. The record is from RNAcentral.
UCAGAGGUGAAAUCCUGCAGCUCAACUGUAGAACUGCCUUUGAUACUGUUAUUCUUGAGUAUGGUGAGGUGGGUGGAAUGUGUGGUGUAGCGGUGAAAUGCAUAGAUAUGACAGGAAACACCAAUUGCGAAGGCAGCUCACUAAACCAUUACUGACGCUGAUGGACGAAAGCGUGGGGAGCGAACAGGAUUAGAUACCCUGGUAGUCCACGCCGUAAACGAUGAUCACUAGCUGUUGGGGAUAUAAUGUCAGCGGCCGAGCGAAAGUAAUAAGUGAUCCACCUGGGGAGUACGUUCGCAACAAUGAAACUCAAAUGAAUUGACGG